RNAcentral lists this ribosomal RNA (460 nucleotides) under uncultured bacterium. RNAcentral's name for it is "partial 16S ribosomal RNA". It matches the Rfam family "Bacterial small subunit ribosomal RNA", at positions 338 to 795 of the family's 1533-position model. The record is from RNAcentral.
CCUACGGGCGGCAGCAGUGAGGAAUAUUGGUCAAUGGCCGUAAGGCUGAACCAGCCAAGUCGCGUGAAGGAAGAAGGAUCUAUGGUUUGUAAACUUCUUUUGUAGGGGAAUAAAGGUAUCCACGUUUGAAUAUUUGCAUGUACCCUAUGAAUAAGCAUCGGAUAACUCCGUGCCAGCAGACGAGGUAAUACGGUGGAUGCGAGCGUUAUCCGGAUUUAUUGGGUUUAACGGGUGCGUAGGUUGUUUUUGAAGUCAGCGGUGAAAGUUUGUGGCUCAACCAUAAAAUUGCCGUUGAUACUGGAAGACUUGAGUGUGUUUGAGGUAGGCGGAAUGCGAGGUGUAGAGGUGAAAUGCAGAGAUAUCACGCAGAACUCCGAUUGCGAAGGCAGCUUACUAAGCCAGAACUGACACUGAAGCACGAAAGCGUGGGGAUCAAACAGGAUUAGAUACCCUUGUAGUC